This 322-nucleotide ribosomal RNA is filed under the name Coralliocaris sp. ZBG-2014. RNAcentral describes it as "partial 12S ribosomal RNA". Lineage: Eukaryota; Metazoa; Arthropoda; Malacostraca; Decapoda; Palaemonidae. The record is from RNAcentral.
UCUUGAAAUUUAAAGGAUUUGGCGGCACUUGAGUCUGGUUAGAGGAACCUGUUAUUUAAACGAUAUUCCACGAAUUAUCUUACUCUGCUUUGUAGUCAGUAUGUAUACCUCCAUUCUAAGAAUGGUAUAUUAAUAUAGCCAUUUAAAUUGAUUAUUGUUAAGUAUGUUAGGUCAAGGUGCAGCCAAUAGUAGAGGGAUAGAUGGGUUACAAUAUAUCAUAUAAUAUAUGGAUAAUCUCUUGAAAGGGAGAUUUGAAGGUGGAUUUAAUUGUAUUUUUAUUUUAAUAUGUUAAAAUGAUGUUAGCUCUAAAAUAUGUACACAU